RNAcentral lists this ribosomal RNA (254 nucleotides) under uncultured bacterium. Its description in RNAcentral is "partial 16S ribosomal RNA". It matches the Rfam family "Bacterial small subunit ribosomal RNA", at positions 524 to 776 of the family's 1533-position model. The record is from RNAcentral.
UACGUAGGGUCCGAGCGUUGUCCGGAUUUAUUGGGCGUAAAGAGCUCGUAGGCGGCUCAGUAAGUCGGAUGUGAAAACUCGGGGCUCAACCCCGAGACGCCAUCCGAUACUGCUGUGGCUUGAGUCUGGUAGGGGAACACGGAAUUCCUGGUGUAGCGGUGAAAUGCGCAGAUAUCAGGAGGAACACCAAUGGCGAAGGCAGUGUUCUGGGCCAGUACUGACGCUGAGGAGCGAAAGCGUGGGUAGCAAACAGG